AUUUGAUGCUGUGGGCAUCUAGUGCACAACUUAUUGAACCUCUCCCAAUAGUUGUAUAAGGAUUCUCCUAGAUAUUGCUUAAUGCUGCACAUCUCUUUUCUCAGACU
Coffea eugenioides is the source of this 107-nucleotide small nucleolar RNA. The record is from RefSeq and is a predicted model, not a curated record. Lineage: Eukaryota; Viridiplantae; Streptophyta; Magnoliopsida; Gentianales; Rubiaceae.